GCUUCUUUACCUUUUAUUUCUUUUGUAAAUGAAGCUUUUCUUUAAGAAUGUGACCUUAAAGUGUUGUCUAUUGCAUAAAACAGUUGACACUCACUUACUGUAAAGUGAAGAUUGUUCUACUGCAUGUGAAGUGGACCAUGCAGAUUUCUGUAUGUUCUCAGUAUGCAUCACUAGAUAAUAAAGUCUUUUGUGAACAAGGCAUUUGUAGCCAUUUUUAAAAGUUUUUGUCUUCAGUUCUGGUAAGUCAGGUAAAUCAUAGUUAAAAGAAACCUUUUUUCCUGAAAGUUCAUAUUGAUAGUAUUAUUUAAGAUGUAAGUAGCGAGAAGUUGAUUGUUUUUAUAGUAUUUAGGGUGCUAAUUAUUUCAUCCAGAAAACCCUACAAUUAUUGUCAGCUUUCAGUGUAGUCAGAAUAUUCCUAUAGGUUAUGGAAUAUAAUUCGGGAUUUAACUAAUGUUUCUGCUAUUUUCUCACUUUUCCUUUUGAUGGUGCGGAAAGAGAAAAAGGAAAACGGGGCACAGGCCAUUCACCGCCUUCUCCAAGGGGUCUGAUUUGCUGAGACACCAGCUUCACCUUCUUAACAAGGUGCAGCUCAGUGGAAGAUGAUGACAACCAGAAGACAUGAGCUAAGGGUAAGGGAUGUUCUUCUGAAGAACCUUUCCAUUUAGUGAUCAAGAUGCAGAAGCUGAUCUCUGAAAAUACUCAGUGUGUGCCCUAAUUGUUCACAUUACCGCUUCCAGUUGUAAAUUGCAUUUUAGCAGCACGUUUUCCCAGUGGACUCUUGGGAAACAAUAAAAUAUGCCUCAUG
Long non-coding RNA from Fukomys damarensis (Damara mole-rat), 805 nucleotides. RefSeq lists it as uncharacterized. The transcript is spliced from 3 exons. NCBI's taxonomy places the organism in Eukaryota, Metazoa, Chordata, Mammalia, Rodentia, Bathyergidae. The record is from RefSeq and is a predicted model, not a curated record.